CAGGCUAGCAUUAGUGAACUCAAGCGCAAUUUUAUGGAAUCCACACCUGAGCCGCGCCCUAAUGAAUGGGAAAAACGACGUAUCACACCUCUGUCCCUACAGACACAAGGGAGCCUAGAAGAGGAGAUAACAUCAAUUUUGUUUAGUGAAAAGGGCUUUUCUGAUAGCAUGAAAGCCACCUUCACUUCAGCCACCACUUGGACAGCAGAGGGCGCUGUUGUGAGCGCUAAUGCACCUUCUGAAAAGCUUUCUUCCUCGCCCUUCUCACACUUGCUUGAGACACGUGCUCCUGAGUCAGAAGGGCCUUGCACUGGAGCCAGGGAUGCUGUUAAGAGUUCACAUGAGACUCUGAAUAUAGUGGAGGAGAAGAAGCGGGCAGAGGUUGGGAAAGACGAAAGAGUAAUCACAGAAGAAAUGAAUGCAGCAGCAGCAGUGAGAGUGAGGAGGAAGACGUGGGAGAGUACCGUCCCCACCACCGAGUGACCGAGGGCACCAUCAGGGAGGAACAGGAGUA
Molecule: small RNA, 514 nt
Filed under: Pan troglodytes (chimpanzee)
Lineage: Eukaryota; Metazoa; Chordata; Mammalia; Primates; Hominidae
Also listed under: 1 other name
Description: processed transcript
Source: RNAcentral